UACGAGGGGGGCAAGCGUUAUUCGGAAUUACUGGGCGUAAAGGGUGCGCAGGCGGUUUGAUCAGUGAGAAGUGAAAGCCCUCGGCUCAACCGAGGAAUUGCUUCUCAUACUGUCAGACUAGAGUAUUGGAGAGGAAAGUGGAAUACCCGGUGUAGCGGUGAAAUGCGUAGAGAUCGGGUGGAACACCAGUGGCGAAGGCGACUUUCUGGACAAUUACUGACGCUGAGGCACGAAAGUGUGGGGAGCAAACAGG
This 253-nucleotide ribosomal RNA is filed under the name uncultured bacterium. RNAcentral's name for it is "partial 16S ribosomal RNA". It matches the Rfam family "Bacterial small subunit ribosomal RNA", at positions 524 to 776 of the family's 1533-position model. The record is from RNAcentral.